Non-coding RNA from Teratosphaeriaceae sp. CCFEE 6253, 82 nucleotides. Lineage: Eukaryota; Fungi; Ascomycota; Dothideomycetes; Mycosphaerellales; Teratosphaeriaceae. The record is from the annotation of a GenBank genome assembly.
GGUCUAUUGGCUCAAUGGUAGAGUGCUUGACUACGAGUAAUGGUCGAUCAAGAGGCUGCAGGUUCGAGCCCUGCAUAGAUCA